GAGAGCAGGCACCCUGGCCCACCCUACUCUUGAAUGUAGAGCAUAUGUAAACAGGAACCUGCACCUCUGCCCUGGGCCCCCUGCAGACCUUGACACUGCUGUUAGGAGCAGGCCUGGCACACAUUUACUCAGGGAUAAGUGUAAGGAGUAUCUUUAGUAGGCAAGCCUGGCCUUUCUAGAUGCAAGGAAAAGCACAGCCUGCUCAGGGAGGUCAGUGGCAGGCUGCCCUUUGGGAUAUCCCUCCAGGCCAGGGAGGUCUUCGGUACUCCAUGCUCAGCAGUGAGAAAAAAGCUAAAUGUAGGGGAAUUAUAGGGGCAUCCUCAAAGAACUGUAUUCGAGCCAAAAGUGAGGUCUGAGGCUACCACCCAGAGGAGAGCUCAGCUUCUUCACAGGCCACAAUGAGACAGACAAGACGCCCUCAGGAGGAGGAUGGGAGAGGUUUGUUUGGUCAUGGAAGACAGGGACAAGCAAACAAAGGCAUCAGACUGAAAUACGCGUAAAAGGUGCCCGCCUCAAAGGGCAUGGUUCUGGACAAGGAGGGAGGGGGCGCACAUUGCUCUAGGCCUUGAGCUUUCCUUUGUAAAAUGAGGAGAUACAGAAGGUGAUCCCCAAGAUCCCUCCCAGAGCUACUGGACAUAAAUCCAUGCCAAUUUCCCUCUCACCCCCAAAAGCGAUUUACUCAUUUGUAUUCUGUUAAAUCCCAAGUUCUUUUUCCCAGCUCCAUUCUUCUCUGACCAACCGAAUUUUACCUGCUUGGAAGGCACAGGCAUUGGCAUAUUCUGCCCCCACUUAUCACAACUGCCCACCUCCCUAGCCUGCAAAUUCCUAAACUGCUCACCAGAGUGUGAGAUGUGUUAAAAAUUGAUCUCCUGGUACACAGGGUGAAGAUGUGACACUGUUAGAACUAGCAGGCGUCAAGGUGUCUGGAAUCCAAAGGACACUAGACGGGGCCCUUUGAACCAGGCACGUGAAGUCAUGUGUUAGAGAUGUGGGGAUCGGGGAAGCUCCAGGAAGGGAAUCAAACACUAAGGAGACUCCUGGUGGUGCCUCGGCCAUUGUGAUGGAGACAGGAGCAAUGAGAUGGGGUUCUGUUAAAUGGCAGGGUGCAGCUCUGGACCCACCCAGCCCAGCUAGGCAUUAGUGAAAGCAGAGAUGCAGGGCUUGGUGCAAGGCCAAGAGCAGGCAAGGGCAAGCUGGGGUGGGGUGAGGGUACAGGAGGAAAGUGCAAUUCGGUGCCACCGCCACAGCAGCAGGGCCCAGCAGGCCUGCCUGCUCCCUUCCGGUGUUAAGAAGCCUGUGCUGGAGAAGAGACCUUCCCAGGGAAAUGCCUGCCAAAAGUGCUAAGAAGGACAAGGAGCACAACAUUACUCAACGCGAUCAUUUGCCAUUUAUAAGGCUCUUCACAUACAUUACCUUAUUUGGUUUUCAUAAUGGACGUCUAAAGAAAAAGAAAGAUGUAUGCACCUAAAGAUAAGGAAAAUGAAACUCAGGGAAACUAAGUGACUUGCCCAAGAUCACACAGCAAUGAUUGAUAGAACCCAGGAGUGUCUAUGAACCAAAGCCCGCUGUCAGAAGAUUCCCUGACAUGAAGUAUGUAUAUACAAUGGAAUAUAAUUCAGCCUUAAAAAGGAAGGAAAUUCUGACACAGACUACAACAUGGAUGCACCUUGAAAACAUGAGGCUAAGUGAAGACACAAAAGGACAAAUACGGUAUGUUUCUACUAAUAUGAGGUAUCCAGAACAGGCAACUUCACAGCAGUGGUUGACAGAGGGUGGGGGAAAGAAGGAUGGAAGUUUUGAUGGGUACAAAGUUUCAGUUUGGGAUAAAAAAGUUCUAGAAAUGGAUAGCACUGAUGGUUGCUCAGUACUAUAAUUAUAGUUCAUGCCACUGAAUUCCACACUUAACAGUGACUAUGUUGGCAAAUGUUUCGAUUAUUUGGAUAUGAUUCUUGCGCCCAGGAAUCUGUUUUAUUUGCUGAGCUACUCCUUUCAGAAGUUUCCACUUUUUCUAAUCUUUCGUUUCUAUUUACACACUUCCGAGAACCAAAACUCUGCCUUGGUUACUGUAAGAUUCUCUUCUGUUUUGUACCGACCUAAACCAACUGGGUUCUUUCUGUAGCAGUUAAAAGCAACGUUCGCAUUCCCAGUUGGUAUGUUACAGUAAGAACAAGUUUCAGGCUGUAUUCUCCCAUGCAUACAAAUUUUUUUUCCCCAAGACAGAGUCUUGCUCUGUCACUCAGAGCUGGAGUGCAAUGGCAAGAUCUUGGCUCACUGCAAUGUCCACCUCCUGUGUUCAAGCAACUCUCCUGACUUGGCCUCCCCAAUAGCUGGAAUUACAGGUGUGCACAACCACACUCGGCUAAUUUUUGUAUUUUUAGCAAAGAUGGGGUUUCACCAUGUUGGCCAGACUGAUCUUGAACACCUGAUCUCGUGAUCCACCUGACUCAGGCUCCCAAAGUGCUGGGAUUACAGGUGUGAGCCACCUCGCCCAGCCACAAAUAUUUGUUAGCCAGCUGGCCCAAACACAUAGCCUAUCCAGAACACUCAAUGAAAUUCUAGCCUACUGACCUUUUUUGUCUGUGUGAUAGCACACUGCAUGGAGAUGCAGCAAUAUUCCAGUGGUGGAUUAGGAGUCAGACUAAAAUUCUCUGAUUUAGUGUCUGUAAAUAGGACUGGUUUAAUAUCUUAGGGCACCACUGCAAAGAGCAUGCAUUGCCGUUGAACUUGCUAAAUUUAUAUACCUUUCCCAUGCAAGGGCAGGGAGAGCUCCUGUAUCUGAUACUUCUGGCCAGUAUAUACAUUUCAAACUACUUGUUUCACCCAAGAAAAUGAUUUCUAACAUCCAUUAUGCUAAUUAGCAAAGCUCUGGUGUUGAUAGGAUAUAAAAGUACCUGGAGGUCUUGCAGAGGCUGCAGAGGGAAUGUAUCUUCUGCUUGGAGUCUUUCAAAUGUUAACUAACCACCCCUGAAGUACAUAUUCCUGAUUAGAAUUCCUCACGUGCUAACUCAUCACCCUCUAGAAUUUGGAUCUAAAGGAUAUCUCACAGUUAGGGUUGCCAGAUAAAAUAUAUCUAAUAUUUGGGACAUACUAAGAUAUUACUUAGUAUUUACCUGAAACUCAUAUUUAACUAUGUUCUGUAUUUUACUUGCUAAAUUUGUCAAGUCUACUCACAGUCUAUACUGUAUUGAAGUGUUUUAAAAUGAACUACAGACAAUAUAACAAAUGCCUCUGGAGUAACAAAAAUAAUAUUUUUAAUGGAGAUGUCUUUUAGCACAAUUUCUUUCUUAUCACUUAUUUCUUCUUAUGCUUUUAAGUUCAGGGUUACAUGUGCAGGACGCACAGGUUCGUUACAUAGGUAAACGUGUAUCGUGGGGUUUGGUCGUAUAGACUAGAUGAAAAUAAUAUUUUAAGUUAUUGUUUGUUUCCCUGAUUUGGCGGUGACCGUUUCCAAGCACGACUUUUCUCCUGCUGCAGAUUUUGACAGUUCUGAGCAGGUGUAACAAUAAGCUAGUUGCUUUAACAUCCGCAGAAAUGAAUAGAUGUUCCUGCCACAAUCCAUGGUCCAUCACUCCCAAAGCUUAGAUGCCUACCUGCUGACAUCGAAAUCAGAAUUCAGCAAGAGCAGACCCACAAGCAGAGCAAGAAGUUUCUGAACCUCUUUGUGUGUAUGUGUGUGUGUGUGUGUGUGUGUGUGUGAGAGAGAGAGAGAGAAAGAGAGAGAGAGAGUGUGUGUGUGUGUGUGUGUGUGAGAGAGAGAGAGAGAGAGAGACAGAGAGAAUGAUAUUGCCCUCGGAUGCAGAAAUGUGCUUUACUCUUGCAUGCGAGAAUAAUACUGUACUGCUUGUUCCUCGUGCACAGGAAUUACAAUGAUCUGAUAUUCUAGGUAGUUUCACAUUAAAGUCUUUUCCUUGCACAGAGGGAUUUAGAAUUCACUAGUGGAGGGUGGGGAGAGAGAGGAAUAAUAAAGACAGGAUAAUAGUACCUUAUCUGAAGGAUUUUCGUCAUCAUCCUAAAAUAAAAUAAAAUUUAUUUUCCAGAAUUUUUCUAAUUUUAAUGCUUAACAUUGUUAAGAGAGGAAAUUCUCAGGGCUGAAAUAAAAUAACAUUGUCCUCCCUCCAUUCCCAUCCCUAAGUAUUUGAGGAAGGGGAAAAACAGGAGGGAAACCUUUUCUUUUCUAUCUAAUGGGGGAUUAAAGGGAUCCUCCCAAAUGUCCUAGAGAAGGUGAAUAGUUACAAAAAAUUAAAUAUGAAAAUAAAAAGGCGGUGUCUGGGACCCACCCCUGUACCCCAGAGCCUCCUGGGAAAGGUCACCAAGCAGGUCAGAUCCCCUGUAGUGGGCCCAGGGAGGCCGGGCUCCUGCGGUCUCACUCCCCGGGUUGCAGCUUAAUAAAGCUUAAUAAAAGGUGUGAUUACCAUGGCAACCUCAGAAACACUUUCAAAUAGAUGGCCAAUUAUUAUUCACUCAUUUACUGUUUAUUGUAGUGAUGCCAAUCACAAUGAACUCCAGGGGUGCAUUAAUGGAGAUGUGAUCUGGGCCUGGGGCCCUUGGGAAAUGGCAUUGUAGUGCUUCCUUCAUUAGCAUAGUGCCUUCAAGGUGGGUGGGCACACAGUUUCUCCCUUUGGUGCCUUGCCACCCAAGCACAGCCAGAGAAAAGUACACACCACACACACACACACACGGUGCCCCCAGUAUACACCCAGGUCCCCAGACAGAAGGACAGAAACCUACGCUCAGCGCUGGUGGGAGUUUUAAUAUUUCUCAUCCUUCCCAGUGGACCCUUUCCCCACUUCAAAUUUGAUAAACAAAUACACUGCCUCCUUAAAACUGGGCCCGGCUCUCAGGGGAAGGAAGAUGUACCAAGCCUGUUUCCCCUUCCAGAAGGCCUUUGAGGUAGGCAGUUUAGAAGACUGGAGGGAAGAAUACAGUGAGUGAGUGAUUAUUCUUUUAUUAAAACGCUCAACCCCACUCCCAGCCCUGCCUUCGCCGUUCCUCAAGAUCUGGCAACCUAAACACACAUUCUCUUCAUCUCAGAGACAUGUGCAGGCAGAAUGGCUUGUUGACAUGUUUCUGUGUGUUUUAUUUCUUUCUUUUUUUUUGAGAUGGAGUUUCAUUCUUGUUACCCAGGCUGGAGUGCAAUGGCGCGAUGUCGGCUCACCGCAACCUCCGCCUCCUGGGUUCAGGCAAUUCUCCUGCCUCAGCCUCGUGACUAGCUGGGAUUUCAGGCACAUGCCACCGUGCCCAGCUAAUUUUUUGUAUUUUUAGUAGAGACGGGGUUUCACCAUGUUGACCAGGAUGGUCUCGAUCUCUUGACCUCGUGAUCCACCUGCCUUGGCCUCCCAAAGUGCUGGGAUUGCAGGCUUGAGCCACUGUGCCCGGCCCUGUGUGUUUUAUUUCUAAAGUAAUUUUCUCUCCCUCUUUAAGAAGGUAGCUGGUCAUUUAAUGAACUGGAAAUGAUGGAAAGACAGCUUCCACCCUUGGUUUCUUGGAUGGAUUCUACCAGACCUUCCCAGAGAAGCAGAGGAAUGGGGACUUUCCAAGGUGUCAUGGGGAUGGGAGUUUGGGAAGCAGAGGGCUUUGAAGGGGUUGGCUCAUGGCUCUAUCUGAGGAGCCUCAGUAGGAUUCCUUUCCCAUCUCUAUGUUCAAUACAAAAGCAACAGAACCAUCCACCCCCUAGGUUCUGCAGGAACAGGAAAUGAUUUUAUCAUUGGGGACCAGUGAGGACCCAGGAUCAAAGGAUUUCUCCAGUGCUGGCUCUGUGCACAACCUGGCCCAAAGGAAGGGGGCGGGUUGGAAAGCAUCCCUGAUACCCUGGUGGGAUGGAAACUCAACGCCAGAUUUCGUUUAUUUUAAUCAAGUAGCAUAGCAUUUCUUGUGUACCAGAAUGCAUGGUAAACUCCAGACCAACUGCUCAGCUGCCAGGCAGACCCCACGCCAACAUGGCCUGUUCUUCUAAAGGCAGCUAAUUCUUGCCCUGCCCAGCUCAUUCUGAUUCCUGUAGCAACUCCCUCACUGGUGCCAAUCAGGCCCAGUGACAGCCGGGGGUGGGAAGGCUUGAGAGUGACUCACUUGUUUUUGCUUGUCUCUGCCUCUGCCCAUGCUCAGGGUGUGGGGGCAGUGUUAAAGAAAAGAUUAUCCUGGCCGGGUGCGGUGGCUCACACCUGUAAUCCCAGCACUUUGGGAGGCAGAGGCGGGUGGAUCAUGAGGUCAAGAGAACGAGACUAUCCUGGUCAACAUGGUGAAACCCCGUCUCUACUAAAAACACAAAAAAUUAGCUGGGCAUGGUGGUGCGCGCCUAUAGUCCCAGCUACUCGGGAGGCUGAGGCAGGAGAAUUGCCUGAACCCAGGAGACGGAGGUUGCGGUGAGCCGAGAUCGCGCCAUUGCACUCCAGCCUGGAUAACAAGAACGAAACUCCAUCUCAAAAAAAAAAAAAAAAAAGAAAAGAAAAGAUUAUCCUGACACUUGUUAAAAUGGUUAAGGAAGACUUUCUGCAGGACUGUCACGACAGGCAGCACAACUAUUGCAAUAGGGGAGAAAGAUUGGGCUUGGCCCCGAUUACAGCAAAGACAGGUGUGAAUUGAUAAUAGCCAGUGAGCAGAAUGUGCGGGUCGGUGGACCAAGAGAGGCGAAUUCUUGCUAAGUCAACUUAAUGAGAUUCUUACUGAAGCCAGACAGAGUAAGUUGCUCAGAUAUCAAGGGUGGGAAGAUUCCUCAUAAACUAGCUUUCUGGGACUUUCACUAAUAUUAGUCUGCAGAGACAGACAAGGAAGACCAAGGCUGAAGACUGGUAGAGAAGGGCUCAGAGAAGCCAGACUCAAGUUUGGUCAACGAGAGAAUCUUCAUCAGUAGUCACUGGAAAUGGGCUCUAGGGAAGGAAGAGCCGAACAAGAAAUUGGUCUGGGAGGGGGUUGUCUUUGUUUUCUGGCAAAAUUAGACAGCACUCAAAGGGCAGCCGACUAGGAAAAAGUAUGCUUAUCAAGCAGUGCUCAGUGAAGCCUGGGUAAGGCUAUCAGGGAACUGCUUCCCUGCACUGCGUUUAGGCUAGCUGAAGGGACCCUUGCAGCCAGCACUUUAAAAAGUCAAAUCGUUUCGGAUAUCCAAGAGGUUUGUCUGCCCUAGGCCUUUUCUCAGUAGCUAAGUGCUGGCCAGGGAGGGAUUCAAAUCCUGCCUUUACUAGUUUUGCUCUCUGUUAACCGUGAACACAGACACAAGGUGUCUAUACACAACCCCUUGGGAGCUCAGUUUCUUCUUCAGGAGGCUGAGGAUGGUCAUGUUUCCACUCUCAUUCAUUGUAAUGAUGUUUAUAAAGCCCAGGAGAAAUGCUCGAUCAAUGCGAGCUCCGCUGCCUCGUUCAGUCUGGGAGGACCAGUUGAGACAAAGGCUCUUCUCCCCAUCUCAGAGUCCUAGAGAGAGACCUAUAGCUCUUCUUGAGGCACAACGCCCUGCUCUCCAAAUGAUCUUCCUCCUGACUUACAUCCCACCUGCAGAUGAUGCUUAUCCCAUCUGGACAGUUCCUGCCUUAUAGGAAUUCCUGGGAGCUUAGUCUAACUUCUCCAGCUUUUUCUUUUAAUGGUGGUGAGAUGCUAGAAAGGGUAGCACUAGGGACUGAAUGUUAGUGCCACCUUCAAAUUCAUAUGUUGAAUCCUAACCCCAAGGUGGCAGUAUUGGGAGGAAGUGGUUGGUUUAUCCUAACCCCAAGGUGGCAGUAUUGGGAAGUGGGGGUUUGGGGAGGUGGUUAGGUUACCAAGGUGGAGUCUUCAUGAAUGGGAUGAGUUGUUUCCUAAACAGGACCCAGACAGCUGGCUUGGCCCCGCCAUGUGAGGACAUAGCAAGAAGGUCUCUCUAUGGACCAGGAACCAAUCCCUCACCAAGACACCAAAUCUGCCGGCGCCUUUAUCUUGGACUUCCCAGUCUCCAGAACUGUAAGAAAUAAACUCCUGAUUAUAAGCCACCCAGUUGUUUAUAAGCCAUCCAGUCUGUGGUGCUUUGUUUCAGCAGCUCAAACUGGUGCAGACGGAGUGGGAGUGGCAGGGCAGCAGGGACCUCAGGAGCCAGAAACCUGCCUGUGAUCCCAGAGUGAGGCGAAGGUGGUGCCAAGAGACUGGUAUGACUCUUGACUCUCAGUCCAAAGAUCCUGAAGGCAUGAGACCCAAGAGAGGUUUUGAGGGGGCAGAGGGGAGGCGGGGGUCCCACAAAGAACGGUUCUCAGAAAGCAAACCCAGGUGAGGAGUACAUAGGAGGUCAUCUCUGGCAGUUUGGCCUGACUUUCCCCAAUAGUUCUAACUGACUUUCCCCAAUAGUUCUAACUGACUUUCCCCAGUAGUUCUAACUGACUUUCCCCAAUAGUUCUAACUGACUUUCCCCAAUAGCUCUAACUUUAAUUCAGCUCAACAAACACUUCUAGAACAUGACUUUACCAUACACCGACUGUACAAGACGUUAGGAAUACAAAGAUAAAUAAGACUCAUUCUCUGCCUCAAGAAAUUUGCAGCCUAAGGAGAAAUCAGGAAUGCAAACAAAUAAAUUCUAAUACUCUGUUGGAUGGGUGCUGGAAUGGCUGGCUGAGCCUGCUGCUGUGGGACCACAGGAUGGGAUUGUGAGGUCUGCUUGGAGGGUGAGGGGAGGCGUCCCAGAGGAGGCGAAAGUUCAUCUCCCCAUUCAGAGAAUGAAGUAGAAACUGUGCAGGGCAGAGAGCUAUAGAAACACAAGGCCUGCUUGGAGAGGCAAGUGUUUGGGAGGCAAGUGUCAGGAGAGGGGCUGGAGAGAUAAGAGAAGGAAGCAUGAGGAGGUCUUUGAAGGGCCACCCAGGCUGUUGGAAUUUUAGAAAGGCCAUUUUGAUGGUGGCUUGGAGGAUGGCUUGGGUAGGGAAGGGUGGGGACACCCCUGCAGUAGCCCUAGAAAGAGGCAAAGCCAGUGUGGAGAAGUGGAGCUAAACCUUCCCAGCCAGGCGACCUUGGCUUCAAUUCUGGUUCCCACUAACUGUGUGAUGUUGGGCAAGAUCUUCAGCCUCACCGAUCCCCAGGCCCCCGUGUGUAAAAUGAGGAUACUAGAGAAUACGCCUUUGUGAUUCUGAUGAGGAUUAAACACAGAUAAUUUUGUCAGCUGCCUGACAUGGGUUCCGGCUCACAUUGCAGGCACCCAAUCAGCUAAGGCCAAAUCGCAGGAGAGAUGCGUUUGAAGUGAAGCACAUAGAAUAGUGUCUAGCAUAUAGUGGGCACUCCAAUCGCAUUUGUAGUCUAACAAAUCGAAUCUAGGAGAAGAGGGGAAAAGGAGUCUAAGAUGAUUCAGAAAGUUCUAGAAUGAUCUCUGGUUGGCGCUUUGACAGCCAUGGGGAGGCACACACUCCGGGAGGUGGGGGUGUAGCUGCCUUGGGAUCUUACUCCUCUGGCUCCCACCUUCCACCACCCAUUCUCCCUGGGUCCUGCAGGUGGCUUCAUCCCUGACACUACAACCAGACAACUUUCUACCUGGGGUGCUGCUAGCUAUCUUUAGUUCUCUAUCCCAUUUUUUAAAGGAAAGAAAUCUAGAUACUCCUACAGAUGUGAUCGUGCAGCUUUCCAUGGGUGGGCAGCCAUUCUGGUAUCUGGUGGAAAGGGAUAGAAACAGGAGUCACACUUGAGAGCUGAAAGGGGAUGAAUCCAUGCUGGUCAGGUACCUUCCAUGUGCUGGGCUCACAGCAUUAUUUUAUGUAAUCCUCACAAUCAGCUUGUGGGUUUGAAAUUUUCUUUUUGAGAUGGAGUUUCACUCUCGUUACCCAGGCUGGAGUGCAAUGGCGCGAUCUCGACUCACCGCAACCUCCGCCUCCUGGGUUCAGGCAAUUCUCCUGCCUCAGCCUCCUGAGUAGCUGGGAUUACAGGCACAUGCCACCAUGCCCAGCUAAUUUUUUUGUAUUUUUAGUAGAGACGGGGUUUCACCAUGUUGACCAGGAUGGUCUUGAUCUCUUGACCUCGUGAUCCACCCGCCUUGGCCUCCCAAAGUGCUGGGAUUACAGGAUUGGGCCAUGAAUUUUUUUUUUUUUUUUUUUUUUGAGAUGGAGUUUCACUCUUGUUACCCAGGCUGGAGUGCAAUGGCGCGAUGUCGGCUCACGGCAACCUCCACCUCCUGGGUUCAGGCAAUUCUCCUGCCUCAGCCUCCUGAGUAGCUGGGAUUACAGGCACACGCCACCGUGCCCAGCUAAUUUUUUUGUAUUUUUAGUAGAGACGGGGUUUCACCAUGUUGACCAGGAUGGUCUUGAUCUCUUGACCUCGUGAUCCACCCGCCUUGGCCUCCCAAAGUGCUGGGAUUACAGGAUUGGGCCAUGAAAUUUUUUUUUUUUUUUGAGAUGGAGUUUCACUCUUGUUACCCAGGCUGGAUUGCAAUGGCGCGAUGUUGGCUCACGGCAACCUCCACCUCCUGGGUUCAGGCAAUUCUCCUGCCUCAGCCUCCUGAGUAGCUGGGAUUACAGUCAAGCGCCACCGUGCCCAGCUAAUUUUUUGUAUUUUUAGUAGAGACGGGGUUUCAUUAUGUUGACCAGGAUGGUCUUGAUCUCUUGACCUCAUGAUUCACCCGCCUCGGCCUCCAAAGUGCUGGGAUUACAGGCAUGAGCCACCGCGCCCGGCGUGAGUUUGAAAUUAUUACUAUCAGCCACAUUUCACUGAAGGGGAAAAUGGGGCCCAGAAAAGUUAAGGAACUAUUGUAAGGUCACACAGCUAGUGAGUAGGGAAAACAGGGUCCAACCACAUCUACCAGGCUUCAAAAUUCUUGCUUUUUUCCACUGUCCCUUUCUAAACAGCCAGGGACUAAGAUAGUAAAAGGAAAGGAUAGUAACACAGACACUCAAUGAAAGUGUCAGAGUAUGAAAGAAUGAAGAGAGGGUCGGGUGAGGGCAGCUUCCUAGUGGGUCCCACCUUCCAGCCUUGGAUGGGCAGCACCUCCAAGCUAAAGCUGGCACACUCUCUCCUUGGAUGGCAGCCACAGGCUUAGGCCCUGCACUGGACAUCUCCCUGGGCCACUCACUGCCCUCUCCUCCUGGAUCUCUCCCUCCACCCUCCUCUCUGCCCCAGAGCCUGCCUGUAGGAAGCUGGCCCUCUUCACAGAGGCACUCCUUGCUUCCAGCUGCUCACUAGAAUCCUAGUGGGGCUGAGGCUAGCACACCAGGGACUAAUCCCCAAAGACAAACAGACUGGACUGGUUAACCCAGACCUCCUCAUGCACAUAUUUAAACAUCUGAAGAAGCCCCUGAAACCUCAGAGGCUCAAUUAGACACAAUGAGAUCCAGUUAAAGAGGCCCCUCUUCUGUGAGGCCCUCCUUGACCACAUCAUUUGAACCAUGAUUGUCAUUUUUAUUGAGGACUACGUGCCAGACAGUCUGCAAAGCAUGUGACCUGCAUUUCCUCACUGGGUACUCACCGCAAUCAAGUGUCUAGCCAUAUGGCAGAAAUUCAACAACGUCCGAUGAACAACCAGCUGGCUAAUAGGGCAUGAAGAUGCCGGAGCAGCAACCCCCACAGGAAAGGUGAUUGGGUUCCACUAAGGAGGACCUCCUGCUUGGGCAGAUCUGGGGAGUCCUGCCGUGCCCUGCCCUGCCCUGCCGUCAUCUCAUUCCCUGCUGAGGAUGGGAAGAGGAAGGGCAGGCCCUGGAAACAGAACCAGGUGAUACCUUUGUUCUGUAUCUUGAUGGGCUCUCUACAAGUGCCAUCUGAAGCAAGUCACUUCGACUCUCUAAGCCUUAUUUUAUUCGUCUCAAAAAUGGAAAUGACAAUCAUCUGCAUAAGUCAUACGGCUUCCUGGGACUUAAUGGGAUCAUGGAUAUGAAAUGCUUUAUAAACUGUAAAAUGUGAGGCUUUGUGCUUAAUUACAGGUGAGCACGCACAUGCUCACACAGCCUCAUCUAUAGGCGCCCAUGGAUUCAUUCACACUCACAGGCUCUUACUCCAAAGACAAAUUAGCAUCACGAUGUAGCCCCCUUGAAGUCCCAUGCUGGGACCUCCCUGUGCCCUCCCUCCUCCCUUUGCCAUUACCCACUUAGACUGAGUGGGUUCGGGAAGAUUGAGGAGGGGCUGAAGAGUUUCAAGGAGAAGCAGGUGGGUCUGGAACACAGACUGCUCUACCCACACCUGCCGCUCUCUUUGCUGUUUGCGUUUGCAUUUCCUUGACACACAGGCACCUGGGAACCGCAGUGGUAGGCUGCCCCCUCGGAGAGUGCUCCACAGAGCAGAACUAACUCUGCAUGGCAGGUUCAAACUCAGCAGCUUCUUUUGGGUGCCUACAAUACAUUCAUUCAUUCUCCCAUUCAACAAAAUUUAUUGAGCACCUACUAUAUAGGCACAGAACUGCACUUCAUGCUGAGAAUCCAAAGACAAGGUAGUCAGUUCCUGUCUUUGAAGCUCACAAAGGCAGACACAGGAGCCGAGGCAAUUCGGGUGGAACAGCAGGCACGUCCCGAAUGGCAAGAGGCUCCACAGGCUAUGGAGUAGAUGGGCUAAGCACAGCCAGAUGAUGAGACUGAAGAUGUCAAACCCAGGGCCCCAAUCCCAAAAAGCCUUCAUGCCACACCCACGAGAUUGGACUUUCAUCCUCUGAGCCACUGAAGGAGAUUGGGGAAGAGUGAGGCAGGAGCUAAGUGGAUUUUCUCUCCUUUUUUAUGUAACUUUUCCCCUGUUACUAUAUUCCUCUCCAAAACUGAUAGUAGUUACAUAAAUGUGCUAAAGCAGUGAAAUAAUAUAAAGUUUGAUAAAGAAAACUUUUAUAAUUUCUCCCACCCCACUUCUAAUUGCCCCGGUAUCCUCUAUACCAGUGGUUCUCAAAGCGCGUUCCCUGGAAGAGCAGUGUCGGCAUCCUCCCGGAACUGGUUAGAAAGGCAAGUUCUUAUGCCUCACUCCAGACUAUUAAAUAAGAAACCCUGGGGUGUGCCCAGCAAUCUGCUACUGUCCUUCAGGUGAUUCUGACGCUUAUGAAAGCUUGAGAACCGCUGUCCCAGACCACCCCAGGUACCCAAUCAUUUCUCAGGCAAAUAUGGACAUGUAGAAAUAUAUGCCAUUUUUAAACUAGUAGCUUCUAAGAAAAAGACAUCAUACCCUUUAUUAAGCAAUCUGCUUAUCUCAUGUCAUUAUAUUGCUUCUAGUCAAUAGACACAGAAAUAACUCAUUUUUUUAAAUGUAUGUAUAAUUUCCCAGCUUACAGUUGUAGUAACAUUUAUUCAAACAUUUACUGUUGGAUAUCAAGGUUAUUUACAAUUAUGUCAACACCUAAAAUAAUGCUACAAUAACUCACAUAACUCAUGCAGUCUUAGAUACUGGUGCUUUUAUUUCUAUAGGAUAGACUGCCCCCCAAAAAAGUAGGACUGCUGAAUCAAAGGUUAUGGUGUUUUUAAUGUUAGUAGAUUGCCAUCUUACUUUCCCCUAACAUUGUAGGAACAUACAGUCCCAUCAGCAAAACAGAAGAUGCCUGUUUCAUCACAUCCUCACCAACUCUUGAUCUUGUAGCUCUUUGCAUCCACAUUUUAGAAAGAUCAUUAGAGCAAUUCAGUGAAAAACAGAUGUGAUCCAAUGGAGGAGCAGUACCGUUGGAGGCCAAGAGACCAGUUAGAGGACUAUUGGAUAAGCCCAGGUGAGCAAUGAUGAAGGCCUAGAUUAAGAAAGUAGCCGAGGGGAUGGAGAGGAGGGGUCAGAUCACUUCUACUACUUGAUUUAUUUCAUCUACCUAAUAAUCUGCUUUACAGACGAGGAACCAGGAGAGUUUGUUGUGGAGAUCUUGUGACUUGCCUACAUGUCCUAGGAUUGCAGAUCAUUUUUUAACCCAUCUCAGGGAAUCCAUCCUACUCCAACUCCCUGAGUAGCACAUGACUCUGCUUUUCCAGCCACAGACGAUUGAUGAGGGGCAGGCACGGGACCUAAGAGUAACUGAUCCAUAGAGAGGCUAGUGAACUAUGCUCUUGGAGGCUGAGGAGGAAGAUCAGGUUGUUUCUGGGUUUUGAGCAAAAACAUUUAGAGGAAAAUUGCCAUUAGUCGUUGUAUUCAUCUGUUCUCACACUGCUAAUAAAGACAUACCCAAGACUAUAUAAUUACAGUAUUGUAAUGAUAAAGGAAAGAAGUUUAAUUGACUCACAGUUCCACAUGGGUGGGGAGGCCUCACAAUUAUGAUGGAAGGCAAGGAGGAACAAGUCACAUCUUAUACGGUGGCAGGCAAGAGUGAGCUUCGGCAGGGGAACUCCCAUUUAUAAAACCAUCAGAUCUCAUGACACUCACUACCAUGAAAAGAGAGUGGGGUUGGGAGGCCGAGGCAGGUGGAUCACGAGGUCAAGAGAACGAGACCAUCCUGGUCAACAUGGUGAAACCCCGUCUCUACUAAAAAUACAAAAAAUUAGCUGGGCAUGGUGGUGCGUACCUGUAAUCCCAGCUACUCAGGAGGCUGAGGCAGGAGAAUUGCCUGAACCCAGAAAGCAGAGGUUGCGGUGAGCCAAGAUCAUGCCAUUGCACUCCAGCCUGGGUAACAAGAGCGAAACUCCGUCUCCAAAAAAAAAAAAAAAAAAAGAGGGUGGGGAAACCCCCAUGAUUUGAUUAUCUCCAGGUGGCCCACCCUUGAAACAUGGGGAUUAUUACACAACUCAAGGUGAGAGUCGGGUCGGGACACAGCCAAGCCAUACCAGUGGUAGUGGAUGGUAAAACAGAAAGUUUGUGCCAAGACAGGGCUAAGGAUGAUGUGGUCACAAGUGAGCUGACAUUAUUAGGAGAGUAGAAAUAAUAAGUUAGCAAUGUAAGCUGACGGAAUGGAGACAGAACAGAGCAGAUACAGAGAAAAAGGCCAAAAUGCUGAGAGAGGAAACCCAGGCUGCCCAAGGGAGGGAGAGAAGCCGUUCCCAGGGGCUCCUGUGAAACCAGACUCACCUUCACUUGUCUCCCACAAAGGCUCGCAGCGCCACAGCCCCGCACACCAACGAGACUCCACAUC
Long non-coding RNA from Callithrix jacchus (white-tufted-ear marmoset), 14926 nucleotides. RefSeq lists it as uncharacterized. The record is from RefSeq and is a predicted model, not a curated record. NCBI's taxonomy places the organism in Eukaryota, Metazoa, Chordata, Mammalia, Primates, Cebidae.